Molecule: small nuclear RNA, 308 nt
Filed under: Marmota monax (woodchuck)
Lineage: Eukaryota; Metazoa; Chordata; Mammalia; Rodentia; Sciuridae
Rfam family: 7SK RNA
About the family: 7SK was discovered as an abundant small nuclear RNA in the mid-70s but a possible function has only recently been suggested. Two independent studies have found that 7SK RNA binds the CDK9/cyclin T complex (known as elongation factor P-TEFb).
Source: RNAcentral
AUGAGUCAGCAUCCUUAUAUCAAAGAAAACUUUUAACCUUUGGUUUUGACUUGGCUGAUCUGGCUGGCUAGGUGGUGUUCCCUUCCUCCCUCACUGCUCCAUGUGCGUCUCCCAAAGCUGUGUGCUCAAAGAGGAAGACCUUCCCUGAUAGAGGAGGACCCUGUUCUUUGGUAAAGGGUAUAAGACUAGCUGUGCUCCCCUGCUGGAACCUCCAAACAAGCUCUCAAAGCCCUUCUUUUUGGUUUAGUUAUUAACAGACCCCUCUCCCCAAUGCCUCCUUUGCCUCAUCCUUUCCUCUGAGGCACAGG